This 86-nucleotide transfer RNA is filed under the name Planctomycetaceae bacterium. Its description in RNAcentral is "tRNA-Leu". It matches the Rfam family "tRNA". From Rfam's summary of the family: Transfer RNA (tRNA) molecules are approximately 80 nucleotides in length. The record is from RNAcentral. Lineage: Bacteria; Pseudomonadati; Planctomycetota; Planctomycetia; Planctomycetales; Planctomycetaceae.
GGCCGAGUGGCGGAAUUGGCAGACGCACAGGACUUAAAAUCCUGUGGGGGGUAUCCCCCGUGCGGGUUCGAGUCCCGCCUCGGCUA